This 420-nucleotide ribosomal RNA is filed under the name Triticum aestivum (bread wheat). RNAcentral describes it as "partial small subunit ribosomal RNA". Lineage: Eukaryota; Viridiplantae; Streptophyta; Magnoliopsida; Poales; Poaceae. The record is from RNAcentral.
AUGGCUCCUACCGAGGCUGAGGCUGAUGUAGAGGAGGGAGAAGAGAAGAAGAAGAAGGAAAGGAAAGCAGCCAGAGCUGCUUUCACGUGGAUUCAAACUCACUUUGCGACGUGCCCUCCGGAUGCCACUGAUGACGUGAUCCAGACACAUGCUCGUGUCUACAUGUGGUAUGUUGUGUCGAGGACUUUGUUUCCUGACUCCACUGGCAAGAACGCUCCAUGGAUGUGGCUGAAGGCGUUGAUCGUCUUCGAAAGCAAAUGGAGCUGGGGUUCAGCGACUCUUGCCUACUUGUACCGACAGGUAGUUGGUCUGUUUUGUGAUCAACUCAUUUCUUCAUUAGCAUUGCAAGCUUGCUGUCAAGUUAACAUUGUUUUUCUUUCAUAUGCAGCUGGACGAUGCGUGUUGCAGGAUCACAGAUAG